GUCCUUGCCGUAACGAUGUAUACUUGAUGUAAUUAGGCUCAACCCUGAUUGUGUCGAAGCUAACGCGAUAAGUAUACCGCCUGGGAGUACGCUCGCAAGGGUGAACUCAAAGAAUUGACGGGGCCCGCACAAGCAGUGGAGCAUGUGGUUUAAUUCGAUGCAACGCGAAGAACCUUACCCAGGCUCGAAAUGUAAUGGACGAUAUCAGAGAUGGUAUUUUCCGCAAGGACCGUUAUAUAGGUGCUGCAUGGCUGUCGU
Molecule: ribosomal RNA, 258 nt
Filed under: uncultured bacterium
Lineage: Bacteria
Description: partial 16S ribosomal RNA
Rfam family: Bacterial small subunit ribosomal RNA
Source: RNAcentral